AUUGAACGCUGGCGGCAGGCCUAACACAUGCAAGUCGAACGGAUGAAGGGAGCUUGCUCCUGGAUUCAGCGGCGGACGGGUGAGUAAUGCCUAUGAAUCUGCCAGGUACUGGGGGAUAACGUCCGGAAACGGGCGCUAAUACCGCAUCCGCCCUGCGGGACAAAGUGGGGGAUCUUCGGCCCCCGCGCUAUCAGAUGAGCCUGGGUCGGAUUAGCGAGGUGGUGGGGUAAAGGCCUACCCAGGCGACGGUCCGUAACUGGUCUGAGAGGAGGAUCAGUCCCAGUGGGACUGAGACACGGUCCAGACUGCUACGGGAGGCCGCAGUGGGGAAUAAUGGACAACAGGCGAGAGGCUGAUCCCGCCAUGGCGGGUGGGUGGAGGAGGUCUUCGGAGUGGAAAGCACUUUAAGUUGGGAGGGAGGGCAGUAAGUUAAUACCUUGCUGUUUUGACGGUACCAAGAGAAUAAGCACCGGCUAACUUCGUG
Molecule: ribosomal RNA, 484 nt
Filed under: uncultured bacterium
Lineage: Bacteria
Description: partial 16S ribosomal RNA
Rfam family: Bacterial small subunit ribosomal RNA
Source: RNAcentral